RNAcentral lists this ribosomal RNA (492 nucleotides) under uncultured bacterium. RNAcentral describes it as "partial 16S ribosomal RNA". It matches the Rfam family "Bacterial small subunit ribosomal RNA", at positions 29 to 507 of the family's 1533-position model. The record is from RNAcentral.
AGUGAACGCUGGCGGUAGGCCUAACACAUGCAAGUCGAACGGCAGCACAGUAAGAGCUUGCUCUUACGGGUGGCGAGUGGCGGACGGGUGAGGAAUACAUCGGAAUCUACUUUUUCGUGGGGGAUAACGUAGGGAAACUUACGCUAAUACCGCAUACGACCUACGGGUGAAAGCAGGGGAUCUUCGGACCUUGCGCGAUUGAAUGAGCCGAUGUCGGAUUAGCUAGUUGGCGGGGUAAAGGCCCACCAAGGCGACGAUCCGUAGCUGGUCUGAGAGGAGGAUAAGCCACACGGGAACUGAGACACGGUCCAGACUCCUACGGGAGGCAGCAGUGGGGAAUAUUGGACAAUGGGCGCAAGCCUGAUCCAGCCAUACCGCGUGGGUGAAGAAGGCCUUCGGGUUGUAAAGCCCUUUUGUUGGGAAAGAAAAGCAGCAGGUUAAUACCCCGCUGUUCUGACGGUACCAAAAGAAUAAGCACCGGCUAACUUCGUG